GAGCCAGAUCUUGGAGGUGGCCUAUGAUUUUGAGGUCCCUCUCCCCGAUGGGAAACUCAAGAGCAUCUGCUUUGCCCUGCACACCCAGGUGUGUGAUAUCGCACAGCUGCCGGGAUCAGAGAACCAGGUCAAGGUGUUCUACUGUCUCCGCCUGCUCGCCUGUCUCUCCCCAGACCAAUGUAUUUCCCUUGUGGGCUCCCGGCUCAAGACUGACAAGGAGGGAAGCCGUGUGGCAUCCCUCUCCAUCUUUAGUGACU
This is a long non-coding RNA of Alligator mississippiensis (American alligator), 257 nucleotides long. RefSeq lists it as uncharacterized. Lineage: Eukaryota; Metazoa; Chordata; Crocodylia; Alligatoridae. The record is from RefSeq and is a predicted model, not a curated record. The transcript is spliced from 3 exons.